AUCGAACGCUGGCGGCAGGCCUAACACAUGCAAGUCGAACGAGUGGCGGACGGGUGUGUUAUGUCUGGGACACUGCCUGCUGGAGGGGGAUAACUACUGGAAACGGUAGCUAAUACCGCAUACCAUCAGAUGUGCCCAGCUGGGAUUAGCUUGUUGGUGGGGGAACGGGGCACCAAGGCGACGAUCCCUAGCUGGCCUGGGAGGAUGACCAGCCACAUCGGAACUAGGGGACGGUCCAGACUCCUACGGGACGCAGGAGGGGGGGAUCUUGCACAAAGGGCGCAAUGCUGGAGCGGCCAAUCCGGGUGUAUGGAGAAGGCCUUGAAGUUGGAAAGUUCGUUCAGCGGGGAGGCGUUACCCGCAGAAGAAGCACCGGCUAACUCCGUGCCAGCAGCCGCGGUAAUAC
RNAcentral lists this ribosomal RNA (406 nucleotides) under uncultured bacterium. RNAcentral describes it as "partial 16S ribosomal RNA". It matches the Rfam family "Bacterial small subunit ribosomal RNA", at positions 29 to 526 of the family's 1533-position model. The record is from RNAcentral.